Molecule: ribosomal RNA, 253 nt
Filed under: uncultured bacterium
Lineage: Bacteria
Description: partial 16S ribosomal RNA
Rfam family: Archaeal small subunit ribosomal RNA
Source: RNAcentral
UACCAGCACCCCGAGUGGUCGGGACGAUUAUUGGGCCUAAAGCAUCCGUAGCCGGUCCUGCAAGUCCUCCGUUAAAUCCACCCGCUCAACGGUUGGGCCGCGGGGGAUACUACAGGGCUAGGAGGCGGGAGAGGCAAGCGGUACUCGAUGGGUAGGGGUAAAAUCCGUUGAUCCAUUGAAGAACACCAGUGGCGAAGGCGGCUUGCCAGAAUGCGCUCGACGGUGAGGGAUGAAAGCUGGGGGAGCAAACCGG